This 1346-nucleotide ribosomal RNA is filed under the name uncultured bacterium. RNAcentral's name for it is "bacterial SSU rRNA". It matches the Rfam family "Bacterial small subunit ribosomal RNA", at positions 28 to 1381 of the family's 1533-position model. The record is from RNAcentral.
GACGAACGCUGGCGGCGUGCUUAACACAUGCAAGUCGAACGGAAAGGCCCUGCUUUUGUGGGGUGCUCGAGUGGCGAACGGGUGAGUAACACGUGAGUAACCUGCCCUUGACUUUGGGAUAACUUCGGGAAACUGGGGCUAAUACCGGAUAGGAGCUCCUGCUGCAUGGUGGGGGUUGGAAAGUUUCGGCGGUUGGGGAUGGACUCGCGGCUUAUCAGCUUGUUGGUGGGGUAGUGGCUUACCAAGGCUUUGACGGGUAGCCGGCCUGAGAGGGUGACCGGCCACAUUGGGACUGAGAUACGGCCCAGACUCCUACGGGAGGCAGCAGUGGGGAAUAUUGCACAAUGGGCGGAAGCCUGAUGCAGCAACGCCGCGUGCGGGAUGACGGCCUUCGGGUUGUAAACCGCUUUCGCCUGUGACGAAGCGUGAGUGACGGUAAUGGGUAAAGAAGCACCGGCUAACUACGUGCCAGCAGCCGCGGUGAUACGUAGGGUGCGAGCGUUGUCCGGAUUUAUUGGGCGUAAAGGGCUCGUAGGUGGUUGAUCGCGUCGGAAGUGUAAUCUUGGGGCUUAACCCUGAGCGUGCUUUCGAUACGGGUUGACUUGAGGAAGGUAGGGGAGAAUGGAAUUCCUGGUGGAGCGGUGGAAUGCGCAGAUAUCAGGAGGAACACCAGUGGCGAAGGCGGUUCUCUGGGCCUUUCCUGACGCUGAGGAGCGAAAGCGUGGGGAGCGAACAGGCUUAGAUACCCUGGUAGUCCACGCUGUAAACGGUGGGUACUAGGUGUGGGGUCCAUUCCACGGGUUCCGUGCCGUAGCUAACGCUUUAAGUACCCCGCCUGGGGAGUACGGCCGCAAGGCUAAAACUCAAAGGAAUUGACGGGGCCCCGCACAAGCGGCGGAGCAUGCGGAUUAAUUCGAUGCAACGCGUAGAACCUUACCUGGGUUUGACAUGGAUCGGGAGUGCUCAGAGAUGGGUGUGCCUCUUUUGGGGUCGGUUCACAGGUGGUGCAUGCCUGUCGUCAGCUCGUGUCGUGAGAUGUUGGGUUAAGUCCCGCAACGAGCGCAACCCUUGUUCACUGUUGCCAGCACGUUAUGGUGGGGACUCAGUGGAGACCGCCGGGGUCAACUCGGAGGAAGGUGGGGAUGACGUCAAGUCCUCAUGCCCCUUAUGUCCAGGGCUUCACGCAUGCUACAAUGGCUGGUACAGAGAGUGGCGAGCCUGUGAGGGUGAGCGAAUCUCGGAAAGCCGGUCUCAGUUCGGAUUGGGGUCUGCAACUCGACCUCAUGAAGUCGGAGUCGCUAGUAAUCGCAGAUCAGCAACGCUGCGGUGAAUACGUUCCCGGGGCU